UACGGAGGGUGCAAGCGUUAAUCGGAAUUACUGGGCGUAAAGCGCACGUAGGCGGCCUUUUAAGUCAGAUGUGAAAUCCCCGGGCUUAACCUGGGAACUGCAUCUGAUACUGGAAGGCUAGAAUCUGGGAGAGGGGAGUAGAAUUUCCGGUGUAGCGGUGAAAUGCAUAGAGAUCGGAAGGAAUACCAGUGGCGAAGGCGACUCCCUGGACCAAGAUUGACGCUGAGGUGCGAAAGCGUGGGUAGCAAACAGG
This 253-nucleotide ribosomal RNA is filed under the name uncultured bacterium. Its description in RNAcentral is "partial 16S ribosomal RNA". It matches the Rfam family "Bacterial small subunit ribosomal RNA", at positions 524 to 776 of the family's 1533-position model. The record is from RNAcentral.